UACGAAGGGGGCUAGCGUUGUUCGGAAUUACUGGGCGUAAAGCGUGCGUAGGUGGUUCGUUAAGUCCGUUGUGAAAGCCCCGAGCUCAACUUGGGAAUUGCAGUGGAUACUGGCGAGCUGGAGUGCGGUAGAGGAAGGUGGAAUUCCCGGUGUAGCGGUGAAAUGCGUAGAGAUCGGGAGGAAUACCGGUGGCGAAGGCGGCAUCCUGGACCGACAUUGACACUGAGGCACGAAAGCGUGGGGAGCAAACAGG
This 253-nucleotide ribosomal RNA is filed under the name uncultured bacterium. Its description in RNAcentral is "partial 16S ribosomal RNA". It matches the Rfam family "Bacterial small subunit ribosomal RNA", at positions 524 to 776 of the family's 1533-position model. The record is from RNAcentral.